UACUCCUUGGUGCCCCUUUAAGAUUGUUGUUUGUUCAUUUGUGGCUGACUGAUUCAUUCAUUCACAGCCAGUUCAUAUAGCAAAGGCCCUUGGACUUGGCUUUUAAAAGGAGAGCUGGGGAGCAAGGGACAGAGAGAUGGAGAAAAACUAGAAAUGAGACAGAGUGAAGACAGGAUGGACAUAGACGGACUCUUGUUCCCUGGAGAGAAGCCAGCAUAGCCCCUUGAUCCCAUGGUCCCCCAAGGAACAAUGUGCUUGAGGGAAUCCAUGCAAUCCCAACAAAAGAUGAACCACUUGACUCAGAUAUAGCAGCAGAGACAAUGGUGGGAGGGUAAAGAGUUCCUCCAUCAAGCCAGUAGCUACAGGUAGAAAAGCCAGUAUGUAGAGUGGAGUGUCCAUGGCAGAGAAGUAAAGGGAUUCUGGAUCGGAACUGCCCACCUGGCUUUCAACUUUGGUGGGCCAAGCUGCUAGCUCUGGGAGAAUAUUGACGGCAGAGAGAAGACAAUGGUGGAAGAGUUCCCAGACAAUGCACAUUUUCUGAACCAAGGGAGAGAUGGAGAUCAUCAAGCGGGUAGCCAUGCAGACCUGGCCUGAGGGGCAGUAGUGGAGCAGGAUCACUUUCCAGAUUUGGGAGUUGGUGCCACCUGGUGGUCCAAACGCCAAGACUAGCCAGAUGGGUUCUAACCCUAGUUUUCUCCCUCUAAAGUCCAGGGAUGAAGGCAAAGCUCCACCCAAACUGAGUCCAAGCUUGCUUGUAUGCUUCUAAGGAUGAAGAUCACCUAACAGAGACUGAAUGUUAUUAUGACUGG
Molecule: non-coding RNA, 809 nt
Organism: Phascolarctos cinereus (koala)
Lineage: Eukaryota; Metazoa; Chordata; Mammalia; Diprotodontia; Phascolarctidae
Source: RefSeq, a predicted model, not a curated record